Molecule: long non-coding RNA, 203 nt
Filed under: Elaeis guineensis (African oil palm)
Lineage: Eukaryota; Viridiplantae; Streptophyta; Magnoliopsida; Arecales; Arecaceae
Description: long non-coding RNA (EGUI_LNC048112)
Source: RNAcentral
CUAGCUUGGGAUAGCUAGGGUCGGAGUUUCCGACGUUGUGUAUUCAGGUUGAAUACAAGCAUAGUGGAUUGAAAUUCCCAAGUAGGAUCUUGGGGAGUGGAUGUAGGUGCAAGGUUAGCACCGAACCACUAUAAAUCCUUGUGUUUGUGGUGUGCUUUAUCGCUUCACUUUAUUUCUUUAUUAUAUUCUUGCUUUCCUGCUUU